AACGCCUCACGACCACAAGAGAGCACUUCCUGUAGUAUGAACCGGCACAUCGAUCGUACGACUUUGGAAAUCGUGUAGUAAGGACGCAGGUACUUUUCCUCAGAGCUCCCGAGGAAAGUUAUCAACUGCACCAUGGAGAAGACGGAGGAGAAGAAAGAAGCUCUACGAGACAACCGUCUGCACGAAGCUCGCCUUGCCUUGUUUUUGAGUCUCACUGUUAUCUGAUCAUUUGGGGCUGUCUGUGAUCAGAGACAUCACAUGUGAUGACGGAACAAGACUGUGUGACUGUACAAGACCGGGGAAGUUGUGGGGCUCAUUGAUCCCUUUGACUCUUAAACUAAAAUACAAGUGACAAUAAAUCAAGAUAAGAUACAGUUAAGAAGCACCAGGACCAGGUUGUAAUAACGUGUUUGAGCUUUAAAUGUGUCAGCUUCCAAACUCCCGGCCGCUCCCUUCUCUCCUUGGUGCUUUCAUCCUCUCCUCUUUGCCGAUCCCAAAUUUAUUGCUUUAUGGCUGAGAUCACAUUUGUCCAAGUUCUUUGAGAGCACCUGGCCACACAACAGCAAGAGCCAACGCUUUAUCUGUGAUCAGUGGCAAUUUGAAGCUGCAUUAUCCUGCUCAUUAUGAAGCCCCUUAUCAAACAUAUUAAUCAUUUCACACAUGAUAUUGAUUUUAACGAUUUUAUUACAAGCUGAAGUAAAUUACGAGCUUCUGGGGGAAAAGGGAGUUUCACAGAACUGAAACCACAGAAACACCAGAUAAUACCAUUCAUAAUAAUAAUAAAAAAAAUCUUUCUCCAGAGUGACUGUAAAAGCCAUUUCUGAAUCACUCAAAUUGAUAUUUAAAUAUCUCAUUAAGGCAAGCAUGUCAGUAUUAACUUCUCAGAUCACUGUCACAGAUGUGGAGUGAGGACACCAGCACAGAGGCAGACAUCACACGAGGCAGAUGGAUGUUUUAAGCCACAGGCGUCACAUGACCCAGGCACAAGACUGAGCUUUAAACAACACGCUCUAUUGCUCAAGUCGCAGGUUAAACUAUACUUGAGCUCUGUGCAGGCCUAUACAUUCAACAAAAUAACGCAAGUGUACCUUAACGGUGAUUCUUUGACCAUGUAAAGAUACAAACAAAAAAACAAAAGGCUGCUGUAGAUCACGGCGGUCAGAUUCAGAGCAGAGAUCCAAACACAAAGGAAAAGCCUUCUGCUUUGUAACCAACCAGUUCUCCUGCAGUGGGAAGUGGGCUGUGUUAGAGAGCAUUGUACUGUAAUCAUGUUGCUUUCCAUGAUAACGCAUCACGAUGUCAUGAAUGUCAGAGGAACAGGCCCAGUCUCACUGUAAAACAGGCUUCUAACAAACAGCAGAUAGUUGACCGCAGCCCGCUGAAACUGCGACCCAACUUUUCUCUGCAGCGCUCCGUCCGCUGCGGCUGUUGCCUUGCAGCCGUGUUCCGCUGCUGUGCAGCAUGAGGUGGCUUUUUUUUUUGUUGGGAAAAGCAGAUCUUUUGCGAAGACAGUCGAUGACUGUGUUAUGCCCACUUGGCCCCGACGAUAGACUGUAAUAAAGGGAGACGUAAUAAGGCCACAGCGUUUUGAUCAAAAAGAGGCCUUUUUUGAAGUGAAUUGUGUUUCUGUUCGUUAGGGAUUGUCACAGUCGCACAAGGUUUUUUCGUUUUUUUUCUGGGGUUUUGCGAUACAUAGCCUUUGUAGUCUUAUUUCGCCUCCUGGGGCCAAACUUCAACCGAGGCUGUUCCUGUAUUACCUGGCUUCAUUAAGGCCAAGCGUGUGAUCCCAACGCUGGUCGACAGCUUCUUUCUUUGUCUUUCACUUUUGAAUGAAGCGCGAUAAACUAUUGAUCCUCUCGAUUCAGUCACGGUCCGGCCGCUAAAGAAAUGAGAAACUUGGGCCGCAGAUGAACACACUCAUAAUGGUUAUGAGUAGAAAAAGAAUAUUGCUACAGAGGCCGUGAAUGACCGAAGAACUCAGCCGCAGAUAAGAGUAAAUAUGUGGCCUACUUGGCGGCUUGAUGUGUUGAGCAAUGCUGGAUAAUUUAUACCACAUUUUCACAUUUCGUGUUUCCUCUAAUCCGAGCGUCAGAAGUGUUGAGAAUGUCUGUGUGGGUUAACACGUUCAAAAAAGGCAUUUACUGACUAAAACCAAAGGGGACUGGCUAAGACACAGGCGUAUAUUAUAAAGAUUAGUGGAUGGAUGGAUGUUGCCCAGGUACUGUUUUUCUUCUUCUUUCCUUUGGAAGGCGUGCUCCCCUUUAGAAGACAAUACUGUAUCACACAGUCAGUUAUCACAACGACACAUUUUCCAGCUCUAAAUACUCACAAUUCCUUUACUUCCUCUGAGGUGAUUCUUUAUUGACAGACAGUUGUGGUCAUCAGGAUGUCAGUUGUCCUCUUCACUGUUCUGCUGACUCUCUCGUCCUGCUGCCCUGUCUUGUUUACUGUAUUCAUAUAAAUUUUUUUCGUGCAUAUCCUGCUUGAAGUUUUUCCGUAAUCUUGACUGUACAGUUUUUGACAGACCUGAGCUUUGUUUGUUCCUUGUUUUUUUCUUUCUUUCCUUCUCUUCUGUUCUGUGGAGCUUCAUGACUAGAGUCCUUAUUACUUUCAAAAUGUCAUUUUAACGUCGUUCUUAACAUCUGACCAGCGACAACUGAAAACGUGUGGCAUUUAGAUGUCAGGUAACUCCUGCUCAUUUACAUUUUUAUUUUUCAUUAUUGGCCACUGUCUCCAAUAAACAAGCUGAAAAAUUUCUAAUAAAUCACAUCCAAAUACCAAA
Scophthalmus maximus (turbot) is the source of this 2782-nucleotide long non-coding RNA. RefSeq lists it as uncharacterized. The transcript is spliced from 2 exons. Lineage: Eukaryota; Metazoa; Chordata; Actinopteri; Pleuronectiformes; Scophthalmidae. The record is from RefSeq and is a predicted model, not a curated record.